This 388-nucleotide ribosomal RNA is filed under the name uncultured bacterium. RNAcentral's name for it is "bacterial SSU rRNA". It matches the Rfam family "Bacterial small subunit ribosomal RNA", at positions 28 to 416 of the family's 1533-position model. The record is from RNAcentral.
AUUGAACGCUGGCGGCAUGCUUUACACAUGCAAGUCGAACGGCAGCGGGGGCUUCGGCCUGCCGGCGAGUGGCGAACGGGUGAGUAAUGCAUCGGAACGUGCCCAGUCAUGGGGGAUAACUACGCGAAAGCGUAGCUAAUACCGCAUACGCCCUGAGGGGGAAAGCGGGGGAUCGCAAGACCUCGCGUGAUUGGAGCGGCCGAUGUCGGAUUAGCUAGUUGGUGGGGUAAAGGCCUACCAAGGCGACGAUCCGUAGCGGGUCUGAGAGGAUGAUCCGCCACACUGGGACUGAGACACGGCCCAGACUCCUACGGGAGGCAGCAGUGGGGGAAUUUUGGACAAUGGGGGGCAACCCUGAUCCAGCCAUGCCGCGUGAGUGAAGAAGGCC